Molecule: ribosomal RNA, 306 nt
Filed under: uncultured bacterium
Lineage: Bacteria
Description: bacterial SSU rRNA
Rfam family: Bacterial small subunit ribosomal RNA
Source: RNAcentral
GAUGAACGCAGGCGGCGGGCUUAACACAUGCAAGUCGAGCGGAAACGAUGAUAGCUUGCUAUCAGGCGUCGAGCGGCGGACGGGUGAGUAAUACUUAGGAAUCUACCUAGUAGUGGGGGAUAGCUCGGGGAAACUCGAAUUAAUACCGCGUACGACCUACGGGAGAAAGGGGGCAACUUGUUGCUCUCGCUAUUAGAUGAGCCUAAGUCGGAUUAGCUAGAUGGUGGGGUAAAGGCCUACCAUGGCGACGAUCUGUAGCUGGUCUGAGAGGAUGAUCAGCCACACCGGGACUGAGACACGGCCCGG